Molecule: long non-coding RNA, 699 nt
Organism: Anthonomus grandis grandis
Lineage: Eukaryota; Metazoa; Arthropoda; Insecta; Coleoptera; Curculionidae
Exons: 3
Source: RefSeq, a predicted model, not a curated record
ACUUUCUCUUUUAGGAAAUGAUUAGGUUCACAGUAACAUUAGAUUUUUCUCCUGAGCCUACACCUGAAGACCCAUUCAUUUUUAACUUUGAGAUAACCAAUACAAUAAGUUCUCUGUUUUAUGAAUUAUCAGAAAAAUAUGAACUACCUUCAGAUUUUGAAAUUACUCUCAAAGUUAAUGGUGAAAAAAAGCACACACUAAAUCAUCUAAAAGAAAAAACUCUCUCUGAAGUUUUAUGGCCUAUAUUAGAUGAAGAUGAAUAUGAACUAGUAAUAUCUCUCCUGAAGAUAAAAAAUAUGUCACUAUGUGUAUCAGAUGUUUCAGAAGAUGAAUUGUUUUUGGGUGCUUCUGCCAGUCCUACAGCUGGAGAACUUGCUCUUAGUGAAUAUCCCAGUACACAGUUUGAAGAAUCAACUUAUGAUAGCAGAAGAAGAAAGGCUAGACAGCUUAGUCCUGUCAUAGCGGAAUCACCUACUUAUGUGGGCCUAGUAAAUCAAGCCAUGACCUGUUAUUUAAAUAGUUUAUUGCAAGCAUUAUAUAUGACUCCAGAAUUUCGCAAUGCUCUUUAUAAUUGGGAGUUUGACGGAGCAAAUGAGACUCGCUCAAUACCUUAUCAGUUACAAAAGUUGUUUUUGAAUUUGCAAACUUCCAAUAAAUCUGCAGUGGAAACUACGGACUUAACUACAAGUUUUGGGUGGC